RNAcentral lists this ribosomal RNA (492 nucleotides) under uncultured bacterium. RNAcentral describes it as "partial 16S ribosomal RNA". It matches the Rfam family "Bacterial small subunit ribosomal RNA", at positions 29 to 507 of the family's 1533-position model. The record is from RNAcentral.
AGUGAACGCUGGCGGUAGGCCUAACACAUGCAAGUCGAACGGCAGCACAGUAAGAGCUUGCCCUUACGGGUGGCGAGUGGCGGACGGGUGAGGAAUACAUCGGAAUCUACUUUUUCGUGGGGGAUAACGUAGGGAAACUUACGCUAAUAUCGCAUACGACCUACGGGUGAAAGCAGGGGAUCUUCGGACCUUGCGCGAUUGAAUGAGCCGAUGUCGGAUUAGCUAGUUGGCGGGGUAAAGGCCCACCAAGGCGACGAUCCGUAGCUGGUCUGAGAGGAUGAUCAGCCACACUGGAACUGAGACACGGUCCAGACUCCUACGGGAGGCAGCAGUGGGGAAUAUUGGACAAUGGGCGCAAGCCUGAUCCAGCCAUACCGCGUGGGUGAAGAAGGCCUUCGGGUUGUAAAGCCCUUUUGUUGGGAAAGAAAAGCAGCAGGUUAAUACCCCGCUGUUCUGACGGUACCCAAAGAAUAAGCACCGGCUAACUUCGUG